GACGAACGCUGGCGGCAUGCCUAACACAUGCAAGUCGAACGAGAAAAUUUCCUUCGGGAAACUAGUAAAGUGGCGCAAGGGUGAGUAACACGUGAAUAAUCUGCCCUCGAGAUCGGGAUAACAUGGUGAAAACUAUGCUAAUACCGGAUAAGACCACAUUUCAAAAGAAAUGCGGGAAAAGGAGUCUCAACCUUCACUCGAGGAUGAGUUCGCGCAACAUUAGCUUGUUGGUGAGAUAAAAGCUCACCAAGGCUACGAUGUUUAGCCGGCCUGAGAGGGUGAACGGCCACACUGGAACUGAGACACGGGUCCAGACUCCUACGGGAGGCAGCAGUGGGGAAUCUUGCACAAUGGGGGAAACCCUGAUGCAGCGAUGCCGCGUGAGUGAAG
This 390-nucleotide ribosomal RNA is filed under the name uncultured Nitrospina sp. Its description in RNAcentral is "bacterial SSU rRNA". It matches the Rfam family "Bacterial small subunit ribosomal RNA", at positions 28 to 410 of the family's 1533-position model. Lineage: Bacteria; Pseudomonadati; Nitrospinota; Nitrospinia; Nitrospinales; Nitrospinaceae. The record is from RNAcentral.